ACUUGCUCUUGUUUUUUAUCAAAAUUAUACAUGCAAGCCUCCACACACCAGUGAGAAUGCCCACCCACCCCCAAACAGUCAGCCGGAGCAGGUAUCAGGAUACAAGCUUUAGCCAAAGACACCUUGCACACGCCACACCCACACGGGUAUUCAGCAGUAAUUAACAUUAAAUAUAAGCGAAAGCUCGAUUUAGUUAUGAUUAAUAUGGUCGGUAAAUUUCGUGCCAGCCACCGCGGUUAUACGAAAGACCAAAAACAACAGCCCACGGCGUAAAGCGUGACUAGAGAUAUCAACAUAUUGAAGGAGAACGGCGGCAAAGUCGUAAAAUACUACUGCACGUUGGAAUAACAACACAAAUGCCUUCAAACUACUUCACCUCACGAAAGCUGAGAAACAAACUGGGAUUAGAUACCCCACUAUGCUCGGCCCUUAACACAGGUAAUAUAAACACAAUACUACCCGCCAGAGAACUACAAGCGAAAAGCUCGAAACUCUAAGGACUUGGCGGUGCUUCAAACCAACCUAGAGGAGCCUGUCCUAUAAUCGAUACCCCACGUUUCACCUUACCUCUCCUAGCCAAGCAGCCUAUAUACCGCCGUCGCCAGCCUACCCUGUGAAAGAGACAAAGUGGGCAAAAAAGUUUUUAACUAACACGUCAGGUCAAGGUGUAGCACACGGAGAGGAAGAGAUGGGCUACAUUUAUUCAAAGAAUAAACACGAAUAGUAUGUUGAAACACACACUUAAAGGUGGAUUUAGCAGUAAAUAUAAACAAGAAUGGUUAUCUUAAGUCUGCUCUGAAGCGCGCACACACCGCCCGUCACCCUCAUCACAUGUAACACAACAUAAAAC
RNAcentral lists this non-coding RNA (850 nucleotides) under Lerista greeri. The record is from RNAcentral. Lineage: Eukaryota; Metazoa; Chordata; Lepidosauria; Squamata; Scincidae.